Molecule: long non-coding RNA, 732 nt
Filed under: Rosa chinensis
Lineage: Eukaryota; Viridiplantae; Streptophyta; Magnoliopsida; Rosales; Rosaceae
Description: sRNA RchiOBHm_Chr4g0429991
Source: RNAcentral
UGAGUUAUUUAUUUUUCACCUCUGUCCCCCUUGCUUUGGUCUUAUGGUGGAGUCCACAUAAAAGACUAAGAUCUACAUUCUGCUGCUUGUUCGCUUUAACCUCUAGAAUGCAAAUUAGAGCCAUCACGUCAUACAUUUUGUUGUAUUAGUAUUAGUUGCUUUUGUCUUGUAGUUGGUUUUGUAUUUGUGUUAUUUUCAUCACUUCUAACAGACCUUACAUGGGUAUAAACUUUGUUAGAGCAUACAUUUAGAAUAACUACAAAAUGAUGCAAGUUUGCCAGUUUGUCAGAAUUAUUUUGUAACAAUUCUGUGUAAUAUCCUACUCGUUGAUGUUGACCACUCUUGUUUUGGUUGAAAUAAGUUCCUUUAUGUUCCAUCUGAUGCCUACUCCACAAGGAAGCUUUUACGUUUUCAAUGACAUUUUCCGAUUAAACUACGCAUGAAGACAAAGGUUGAUCACCCACGUUCAACAACUGGUGGGAUUAUGUGUGCCCUCUCUGCUUAUGUUUAGUUCUAGACAUUUUGAAUCAGAUGGAGAGUCUGAACUUUCUUGUUAAGUUUAGUGUUUUGUUUCUGAAAUUUCAAGAUUUGAUGGUAUGGUAUGGUACUAUGGUUCUUAUUGGUUGAUUUGAUGAUAUUUUACCUGUACUGGGCAAUUAUCUAAAUGAACACAGUAUUGGGGGUUUGAGACUAAAGAAGUUUCCUUAUAAGGAUGUUGGUAUGACUUGCAUU